UACCGGUUUCUAUGUCUCUGC
Molecule: non-coding RNA, 21 nt
Filed under: Arabidopsis thaliana (thale cress)
Lineage: Eukaryota; Viridiplantae; Streptophyta; Magnoliopsida; Brassicales; Brassicaceae
Source: RNAcentral